AUUUUGUGCAGAAAAGAUAAGAGUGCGUGCAUAUGUUAACACAGCCAUUCGUCUACGUCCAUCAUAGACCGCUUUUGUUAAAGGGUCUGAAAAUGAAGCAGUAGGGCUUUACCAAAAGAAAGCAAAGCACCGGUGACUUUGAUUUUAGCAAAUAUGUGAUGGUCCUUCUGGAAUGACCACGAGUGCGCUCGGAUGUGGCUGAGCUGUGACGCUCCUCUGCAGAGGGAAGGAAGGCGCUCAGAGAUGUUGGAAGGCCUGCCCCACGGGCCGCACUGCAGAGGUCCACCUCGGAAAGACGGGGCAUUCGGCCUUCACAGGAAAGUUCUUUGCUCCAUUUUAAAGAAGAGGCUCGCGGGAUGCCUGGGGUGCAGGUGGCAGAGCCG
Nyctereutes procyonoides (raccoon dog) is the source of this 383-nucleotide long non-coding RNA. RefSeq lists it as uncharacterized. The transcript is spliced from 3 exons. The record is from RefSeq and is a predicted model, not a curated record. Lineage: Eukaryota; Metazoa; Chordata; Mammalia; Carnivora; Canidae.